Molecule: non-coding RNA, 1449 nt
Organism: Anas platyrhynchos (mallard)
Lineage: Eukaryota; Metazoa; Chordata; Aves; Anseriformes; Anatidae
Source: RefSeq, a predicted model, not a curated record
GUGGCUGCUGCAAGGUUUUGACAAAAUAACAAAAGCUGAAAUUCUGAAGAGUAUUUUGCACCUUGAUGCAGAUGACAGAGCUGUAUAUCACUGUGUGGGUUCUGUCAAGGAAUUUGUGUGAAAUGAAAGGAGUAUAACACAAUAAGCCUACUUUGCUGUGCUCCAUCCCAGUCUGUAGGAAUAGCCUAGCAAAGGCCCAUAGCAUUAAAAAUUAUCAUUAUGGAAAUACUAUUGAUAUUUAAGAGGUACUUAUUCUGAAGAUCUACUGUCCAAAUGAAAGUAUGGGUUUGAGCUUCUCCCAGUUCUGGUAAAUCAGGUGCAACCCUUACUUAUGGAAUACUUCCAGUGAUCCAAUUAAAGUAUAUGGUACAGAGUGAUAUUACAUGGCACUGUUAUAAAUUAUUUUUGUCACAGCACGCAUGAUCUUUCAAUUGCAUUUCACACAGACCUUGACGGAGGAGGUGAUUUCAAAGGAGAUAUUAUUCCCCUAUUGGGUAAAGAGAGCACAAAGUCACCCAUGGAAUCAAGGAGCUGAAAACAGCUCUCAGGUUACUGCCAAUAUUAAGUAGAAGCCUGUGCUGCACAAAGGAUAAGUUAAAUUCCUCAUGCUGGAAGGAAUCCUGAGACAACCCAAAGAACGCAUCGAGAUAAUGGCUAGUUAACAAGAGAAAUACAGAACUGGAGGCAAAUAUAUCAGCUGAAGCACUGGCAAAUAACUUAAGACAGAGGAAAAAAAAAUUAAUAGUCUAUUCCACCCAUCAGCCAACUCUGAGAUCCAUGAUUUGCUGUUGGUGCUAGGAGAACAGCAGCAACAAAAAAACAUUAGCUUUAUAAGCACUGCUGCCAACUCCUGGCACUUGCCAAGACACCAGUAACACUUCAGAAGAACAAUACUUAAAGUUAAUCACAGAUAACUAAUUUUCGAGCAGGCCAAGGUCAACUUGUGAUCAACUACUAAAAUUCCAGGCUCCCUUUUCUUCCUGUCAGAUCUUACAUAACGCGUCCUUUUCUUUACCCUACCUUAUUUCUUUUCUGUUUGCUAAUUAUGGCUUAGUUGGGUGAAAUUGAGUAUUGAUCAACACUACAGUAAACCUACAUGUAGUAGCGAGGAAGGGGCCAAAACCAGAAAAGCCUGAUAGAAAUAGAAGUUUGCCAAGUGUCAGCUCAACUGAUAAGGCUAUGCCUCACUUGAGCUUCAAGUUUACAAGCAAGAGUAAGCUUCCAGAUUAUAAACUACUUUUUCCUCUCUGUGUAGUUUUUUUGUUUCUCUGAUUUCCAACGUUUUUACUUUCUUCUGUCCAAAGAAAGCAGGACUGGACUUCCAACAGCAAAACACUGAACACCAAAACCCCUUGUUCAACUAACUUGCUCUUUUUCCUUCACAAUUACAAUAUCUUCAUUGAUGUCAUCUAAAAAGAUGUGAUUUUUGAAAAAAAAAAAAAAAAAAAA